RNAcentral lists this ribosomal RNA (482 nucleotides) under uncultured bacterium. Its description in RNAcentral is "partial 16S ribosomal RNA". It matches the Rfam family "Bacterial small subunit ribosomal RNA", at positions 30 to 507 of the family's 1533-position model. The record is from RNAcentral.
AUUGAACGCUGGCGGCAUGAUUUACACAUGCAAGUCGAACGGUAACAGGCCGCAAGGUGCUGACGAGUGGCGAACGGGUGAGUAAUGCAUCGGAACGUGCCCAGUCGCGGGGGAUAACUACUCGAAAGAGUAGCUAAUACCGCAUACGAUCUAUGGAUGAAAGCGGGGGACCGUAAGGCCUCGCGCGAUUGGAGCGGCCGAUGUCAGAUUAGGUAGUUGGUGGGGUAAAGGCUCACCAAGCCAACGAUCUGUAGCUGGUCUGAGAGGACGACCAGCCACACUGGGACUGAGACACGGCCCAGACUCCUACGGGAGGCAGCAGUGGGGAAUUUUGGACAAUGGGCGCAAGCCUGAUCCAGCAAUGCCGCGUGCAGGAAGAAGGCCUUCGGGUUGUAAACUGCUUUUGUACGGAACGAAACGGCUCUGGUUAAUACCCGGGGCUAAUGACGGUACCGUAAGAAUAAGCACCGGCUAACUACGUG